GACGAACGCUGGCGGCGUGCUUAACACAUGCAAGUCGAACGGAAAGGCCCUGCUUUUGUGGGGUGCUCGAGUGGCGAACGGGUGAGUAACACGUGAGUAACCUGCCCUUGACUUUGGGAUAACUUCAGGAAACUGGGGCUAAUACCGGAUAGGAGCUCCUGCUGCAUGGUGGGGGUUGGAAAGUUUCGGCGGUUGGGGAUGGACUCGCGGCUUAUCAGCUUGUUGGUGGGGUAGUGGCUUACCAAGGCUUUGACGGGUAGCCGGCCUGAGAGGGUGACAGGCCACAUUGGGACUGAGAUGCGGCCCAGACUACUACGGGAGGCAGCAGUGGGGAAUAUUGCACAAUGGGCGGAAGCCUGAUGCAGCAACGCCGCGUGCGGGAUGACGGCCUUCGGGUUGUAAACCGCUUUCGCCUGUGACGAAGCGUGAGUGACGGUAAUGGGUAAAGAAGCACCGGCUAACUACGUG
Molecule: ribosomal RNA, 468 nt
Filed under: uncultured bacterium
Lineage: Bacteria
Description: partial 16S ribosomal RNA
Rfam family: Bacterial small subunit ribosomal RNA
Source: RNAcentral